Molecule: long non-coding RNA, 1278 nt
Filed under: Junco hyemalis (dark-eyed junco)
Lineage: Eukaryota; Metazoa; Chordata; Aves; Passeriformes; Passerellidae
Description: lncRNA (ENSJHYG00000009127.1)
Source: RNAcentral
AUGAAUGAGCAGAGCAGGGUAAAUGCAGCUGCUGUCACAUCUGUGCUCAUGCCCUGCCUCAGGGACAGGGCCAGGCUGGAAUCUGGCUGUUCCUGUGCCCUGUGCCCUGCUGUGGCUGCAGGCAGGCUCCUGGGAACCCUCUCUCUGCCAGGUAUCCCUCUCCUGCCUCAAACCACCCAGCCUGACAGAACUCCUGGUGCACAAAAGCCAGAGGAACUGCUCUGCAGGAGCCCCAGGCAGCUGCACAGGGCUGCAGAGCCUCUGCCACAUGCCAGGGAGCAUCUCACCCCGGGCCCUGCUGUGUGCCUGCUGCCAGAGCCUGUCCCUGCUGCCCGGGAAUUGCCCAACACCCUCUGUGCUGCAGGCUCAGGGCACACCGUGGCCAGGGGACUCUGCUGCUCCAGCUCCAGAGGGAAGGAGCAGGAGGAAAACACAGCUGGGAUGGUGUUUAUUAAGCAAAUUAACAGGCUGGGGAAAAUGAAGAAAGUGUGGGCACUUCUCACUUCAUGCAGAGGUGAGGGCUGGAAGCUGAGGCUGGGAGCUGGCCGGGGAUUCAUUCCUGCAGUGCAGCCCCUCUCCACUCCCCAUCACCUUCACUUUUGGGCGGCCCAGCCCACUCAGAGCCCUGAUGGUGCAGACUGCACCUCCCACACCGGGGUAGAAUCACAGAAUCACGGAAUCGCAGAAUCACAGAAUCGCAGAAUCACAGAAUCGCAGAAUCGCAGAAUCACAGAAUCGCAGAAUCACAGAAUCACAGAGUGGUUUUUCUGGGAAGGACCUGGCAGACCAUGCAGCUCCAGCCCCGUGCCCUGGGCAGGGACCCCUCCCGCCAGCCCAGCUCGCUCCGAGCCCCGUCCAGGCUGCCCUUGGGCACAGCUGGCAGCGGGGCAGGUGCCCGGAGCCCCCGGGCUGCCAUUCCCGGCCGCGGCAGCCUCGGGGGAGCUGCCCGGGGCUCUGCGGCCGGGGGGGCACGGCCAGGGCGAGGAGAGGCUCCCGGCAGGCAGGGAUUCCAGGGAUGCUCAGACACCGCCCCCCGCAUCCCCGGAGUGCCCCGAAGGGAGGAGAAACGGCAGAACAGCGGGGAAGAAGCCUGAGAACGUGCGGGCUGUGCUCGGCGGGGCGACCGGGCCGGGCUGGGUCUCGGUGCCUGGGCUGGGGACGGGAGGACAGCGGGACGGGGUGCGGGGGGGAUGCUCCCUCCGCGGGGCCGGCUGGCCAUGGCUGUGCUGCGGGGCAUCCCCUGGCACGUUCGUGCCGCGGCCCCGGUGCCGGGGACCC